This 497-nucleotide ribosomal RNA is filed under the name uncultured bacterium. Its description in RNAcentral is "partial 16S ribosomal RNA". It matches the Rfam family "Bacterial small subunit ribosomal RNA", at positions 28 to 507 of the family's 1533-position model. The record is from RNAcentral.
GACGAACGCUGGCGGCGUGCCUAAUACAUGCAAGUAGAACGCUGAAGAGAGGAGCUUACUCUUCUUGGAUGAGUUGCGAACGGGUGAGUAACGCGUAGGUAACCUGCCUUGUAGCGGGGGAUAACUAUUGGAAACGAUAGCUAAUACCGCAUAACAAUGGAUGACACAUGUCAUUUAUUUGAAAGGGGCAAUUGCUCCACUACAAGAUGGACCUGCGUUGUAUUAGCUAGUAGGUGAGGUAAUGGCUCACCUAGGCGACGAUACAUAGCCGACCUGAGAGGGUGAUCGGCCACACUGGGACUGAGACACGGCCCAGACUCCUACGGGAGGCAGCAGUAGGGAAUCUUCGGCAAUGGGGGCAACCCUGACCGAGCAACGCCGCGGGAGUGAAGAAGGGUGUCGGAUCGGAAAGCUCGGUUGUAAGUCAAGAACGGGUGUGAGAGUGGAAAGUUCACACUGUGACGGUAGCUUACCAGAAAGGGACGGCUAACUACGUG